GAGAAGACAGAUACCUUUGUGGAUAUGAUGUUCCCAAUGUUAAUCCCUGUCUCAAUGCUCAUCGGGGCAUUCCUCAUUACUUCCUCUAUUGCAGCAGACAUUGUCGAGGAAAAGUUUUCUAAAAUGAGGGAAAUUCAGCGAAUGAUGGGUCUGACUGACACCAUAAUGUGGCUGAGUUGGAUUAUCCAGAGGUCUCUCAUUAUAAUCGCUUGUUCCGCCCUGAACGCCACAGUUCUGAUGUUUUGCGGAUACACGCCACUGAGUGACGAAACAGUGGUUUUUGUGUUUCUCCUGCUUUACUACACAGCUC
Molecule: long non-coding RNA, 310 nt
Organism: Bolinopsis microptera
Lineage: Eukaryota; Metazoa; Ctenophora; Tentaculata; Lobata; Bolinopsidae
Exons: 3
Source: RefSeq, a predicted model, not a curated record